AGAAAUAUGAUGUUCAAGUAAAAGCUGCUAACUUUUUACUUUUAAUGGUUAAACUCCAUUUAUAUUUCUA
RNAcentral lists this transfer RNA (70 nucleotides) under Hamaxiella brunnescens. RNAcentral describes it as "tRNA-Ser". Lineage: Eukaryota; Metazoa; Arthropoda; Insecta; Diptera; Tachinidae. The record is from RNAcentral.